RNAcentral lists this ribosomal RNA (580 nucleotides) under uncultured bacterium. RNAcentral describes it as "bacterial SSU rRNA". It matches the Rfam family "Bacterial small subunit ribosomal RNA", at positions 337 to 917 of the family's 1533-position model. The record is from RNAcentral.
UCCUACGGGAGGCAGCAGUGGGGAAUCUUGCACAAUGGAGGAAACUCUGAACCAGCCAUGCCGCGUGAAGGAUGACGGCCCUAUGGGUUGUAAACUUCUUUUGAAUAGGAAGAAACUUAUCUACGUGUAGAUAACUGACGGUACUAUUAGAAUAAGGAUCGGCUAACUCCGUGCCAGCAGCCGCGGUAAUACGGAGGAUCCAAGCGUUAUCCGGAUUCAUUGGGUUUAAAGGGUCCGUAGGCGGGUCUUUAAGUCAGUGGUGAAAGCCGACAGCUCAACUGUCGAACUGCCAUUGAUACUGGAGACCUUGAGUACAAAUGAAGUAGGCGGAAUGAGUCAUGUAGCGGUGAAAUGCAUAGAUAUGACUCAGAACACCGAUUGCGAAGGCAGCUUACUAACAUGUAACUGACGCUGAGGGACGAAAGCGUGGGGAGCGAACAGGAUUAGAUACCCUGGUAGUCCACGCCGUAAACGAUCAUCACUCGCUGUUGGCGAUAUACUGUCAGCGGCCAAGCGAAAGUAUUAAGUGAUGCACCUGGGGAGUACGCCGGCAACGGUGAAACUCAAAUGAAUUGACGGA